GAUUAUUGGGCGUAAGCGCGCGCAGGUGGUUUCUUAAGUCUGAUGUGAAAGCCCACGGCUCAACCGUGGAGGGUCAUUGGAAACUGGGAGACUUGAGUGCAGAAGAGGAAAGUGGAAUUCCAUGUGUAGCGGUGAAAUGCGUAGAGAUAUGGAGGAACACCAGUGGCGAAGGCGACUUUCUGGUCUGUAACUGACACUGAGGCGCGAAAGCGUGGGGAGCAAACAGGAUUAGAUACCCUGGUAGUCCACGCCGUAAGCGAUGAGUGCUA
This 269-nucleotide ribosomal RNA is filed under the name Bacillus cereus. RNAcentral's name for it is "partial 16S ribosomal RNA". It matches the Rfam family "Bacterial small subunit ribosomal RNA", at positions 550 to 818 of the family's 1533-position model. The record is from RNAcentral. Lineage: Bacteria; Bacillati; Bacillota; Bacilli; Caryophanales; Bacillaceae.